RNAcentral lists this long non-coding RNA (216 nucleotides) under Brassica napus (rape). RNAcentral describes it as "long non-coding RNA (BNAP_LNC010019)". Lineage: Eukaryota; Viridiplantae; Streptophyta; Magnoliopsida; Brassicales; Brassicaceae. The record is from RNAcentral.
UAGUGUCGUAGCAUGAGGCCGAACUAUCUGGGUAACAGUUUGAUUGAGUAGAUUGAUUAAGUAGAUUUAAUUAAAUGCUUGCUCGUUUAAUUAAUCUUGUUGAUUGAGGUUAGUCAUCUCUUGGUAAGGGAGUGACUAAAUGGUUGAGUUGUUUUGUGAUAAUGUUGUUGUUUAGGGAUCUUGGCCAUAUAGGCCGAUCUCCUGGUUGUGAUGUUG